This 468-nucleotide ribosomal RNA is filed under the name uncultured bacterium. RNAcentral describes it as "partial 16S ribosomal RNA". It matches the Rfam family "Bacterial small subunit ribosomal RNA", at positions 28 to 507 of the family's 1533-position model. The record is from RNAcentral.
GACGAACGCUGGCGGCGCGCCUAACACAUGCCAGUCGAACGGAGCUGCGAGAAGCUUGCUUUUCUUAGCUUAGUGGCGAACGGGUGAGUAACGCGUGUGUAACCUGCCCUGGAGUGGGGGACAACAGUUGGAAACGACUGCUAAUACCGCAUAAGCCCACGCUCCGGCAUCGGAUUGAGGGAAAAGGGUUUAUUCGCUUCAGGAUGGACUCGCGUCCAAUUAGCUAGUUGGUGGGGUAACGGCCCACCAAGGCGACGAUUGCUAGCCGGACGGAGAGGCUGACCGGCUACAAUGGGACUGAGACACAGCCCAGACUCCUACGGGAGGCAGGAGUGGGGGAUAUUGCAGAAGGGGGGAAACCGUGAUGCAGCGGCGCCGCGUGGGGGAAGAAGGUGUUCGGAUUGUAAACUCCUGUCGUAAGGGACGAUAAUGACGGUACCUAACAAGAAAGCACCGGCUAACUACGUG